ACGUACACUCCUGCGGGAGGCAGCAGUGGGGAAUUUUGGACAAUGGGCGAAAGCCUGAUCCAGCCAUGCCGCGUGCAGGAUGAAGGCCUUCGGGUUGUAAACUGCUUUUGUACGGAACGAAACGGCCUUUUCUAAUAAAGAGGGCUAAUGACGGUACCGUAAGAAUAAGCACCGGCUAACUACGUGCCAGCAGCCGCGGUAAUACGUAGGGUGCAAGCGUUAAUCGGAAUUACUGGGCGUAAAGCGUGCGCAGGCGGUUAUGUAAGACAGUUGUGAAAUCCCCGGGCUCAACCUGGGAACUGCAUCUGUGACUGCAUAGCUAGAGUACGGUAGAGGGGGAUGGAAUUCCGCGUGUAGCAGUGAAAUGCGUAGAUAUGCGGAGGAACACCGAUGGCGAAGGCAAUCCCCUGGACCUGUACUGACGCUCAUGCACGAAAGCGUGGGGAGCAAACAGGAUUAGAAACCCUAGUAGUCCCAUGA
Molecule: ribosomal RNA, 480 nt
Filed under: uncultured organism
Description: partial 16S ribosomal RNA
Rfam family: Bacterial small subunit ribosomal RNA
Source: RNAcentral